GCCGGGCGUGGUGGCGCAUGUCUGUAAUCCCAGCUACUCAGGAGGCUGAGGCAGGAGAAUUGCUUGAACCCAGGAGGCAGAGGUUGCAGUGAGCCGAGAUUGCGCCACUGCACUCCAGCCUGGGAAACAGAGUAAAACUCUGUCUUUA
RNAcentral lists this small RNA (148 nucleotides) under Pongo abelii (Sumatran orangutan). RNAcentral describes it as "Metazoan signal recognition particle RNA (ENSPPYG00000041009.1)". Lineage: Eukaryota; Metazoa; Chordata; Mammalia; Primates; Hominidae. The record is from Rfam by way of RNAcentral.